ACGGUGGUGGUUUAGUGGUAGAAUUCUUGCCUUGCAUGUAUGAGAUCUGGGUUCUAUUCCCAGCUAAUGCG
Molecule: transfer RNA, 71 nt
Filed under: Loxodonta africana (African savanna elephant)
Lineage: Eukaryota; Metazoa; Chordata; Mammalia; Proboscidea; Elephantidae
Rfam family: tRNA
About the family: Transfer RNA (tRNA) molecules are approximately 80 nucleotides in length. Their secondary structure includes four short double-helical elements and three loops (D, anti-codon, and T loops). Further hydrogen bonds mediate the characteristic L-shaped molecular structure. tRNAs have two regions of fundamental functional importance: the anti-codon, which is responsible for specific mRNA codon recognition, and the 3' end, to which the tRNAs corresponding amino acid is attached (by aminoacyl-tRNA synthetases). tRNAs cope with the degeneracy of the genetic code in two manners: having more than one tRNA (with a specific anti-codon) for a particular amino acid; and 'wobble' base-pairing, i.e. permitting non-standard base-pairing at the 3rd anti-codon position.
Source: Rfam by way of RNAcentral